This 209-nucleotide long non-coding RNA is filed under the name Homo sapiens (human). RNAcentral describes it as "HSALNT0364063". The record is from RNAcentral. Lineage: Eukaryota; Metazoa; Chordata; Mammalia; Primates; Hominidae.
AGUGUCCAUUUUGCUUGGAGAUGGAUGCUAAGAUGUAAACUGACUGAUCACCCCAGGUAACUGUCUCUCCACAUCAAUCUAUUGAUUCUCACUGCAUGGAGUGAAGAAGAAACCACCAGAUCAGAUAAGUCGACAUUUUCACUGGACCGAUUGGACUGAAAAGGCAAGAUUGAAUGAGAAUGAUUUCUCCUUUAAAAUUGUCACAAAAC